CUUGUAGGCCGCUUUCAAAAAAAAAAGGAACCAUCAACUGAACAAUGUAUAUUGCCAAAGAAAUGUGAAUUUUACCUUCUUGUGUGAAUAGCCACAAAUACUAAUUUAACGUAAACUUAACUGCUAAAAUACACUGUAAAAAUUGUAUCUAGAUGAUAACAUUAAAUUUAAACAACCGGCAAACUAGCGCUUCGCAUCUUACUUAGAGUAUUCAUGAUAACAACUUGCUUCCCACCGAUCUGGUAUGCAAUACCGGUACUCCAAAGCAUAAGUAAAAGGGUGUCGUGUGUAAUAGGAAAUCAGCUUCUAUUGACGUUGAGAAACACUACAUGCCUUUUAUCGAUGGUUCGUUUGGAAGAAACAUAGCCCAACUGUAAAGCAAAUUUUUACAUUUCUGCCUAAUAUCAUAAAGUUCGUCAUUCUCUAAAUGCUCCAAAAAAGCAAUUCUCUUCAGGACCUUUGCCAAUUUAGUAGAAGUAAUCAAUUCGUAGUUCAGGAACGGGAUAUCACUUAUUGCGUUUAGAUAUUUACUGGCGUUAUAAAAAUCUUCUUCAACUAUCAAAUGAUCCGGCGAAAGAAAUGCUUUUUGUAGCUUAUGGCGAAAAAAAAGUAGUCGCUGCAUUAGUGCUUUCGUCUGGUCAUUCAAAGGUGAGGAAGGAGAUAUACGGCCCCUCUCUUGCGGGUUUUUUAAAGGUUGCUUUCCUUUUCCUUUUGCUUCUCCCCUAUGAUCAAAAUUACUUGAAAGUGGGUACCUUUGGUCACUUAACUGCGUAGAGCUACGAGAAGUCGAAGCGACAGUAGGACCAUACAUUUCAGAAAUAGAAGUUAUUGACAUCAAGGAUCCGCUGGAGAUACUCUCCGCAUCUGAUUCAUCAAGAGAUGUCUCCCAAUGAUAUUUUCUUUUUUGCAAAAAAUUAGGCUUCUCCUCAGCAGCUGAUAAGCUAUCCAUUUCCUCAUCGGUGGAAGAUUCCUCCUUUAAAUCAGGAGGAGUUUUUGAAGCCUCAUAAGCUUCAAUAAGUUCUUUAGACUUCCGCUUUGAGGAACCAAGAAAUUUGGCUAUUUCGGAAUCCAAUAAUGGCUUAACACUAUUUCUUUUCACCCAUGCAAAAUUGAAGUCAGGAAAAAACAAAACCUUAUAUAAGACAUUAAAUGAGCUAUUAGUAUUCAAACUAUCCUUAGUUUCUUUUCGUCUCAGUAGCAAGGCCGGCCACCAUGGAUAACCUGGGGCUUUUACCAAAAUUCGGUCACCAAAAUUUAGCCUGUCAUCUGCAGAAGCUUGUUCCAAAUUAUCCUUGCUUUCUUCAACAACACUGGGUAUAUUACUCUCUUUUCCUUCGGAUAUGCUUAAUCCCCCUUGUUUAGAAGAUAAUCUUCGUCUUUUUGCAUUAGUGCGGGCAUUAUUCAUUAUAGAAAACCACUUUCCUUAUUCUAAAUGAAAGGAGAUUAGCCUCAUGUAUUACUUUUAAUGUUUAACCACUCCCGUUUAAUGGGCAUGUGGGCAGUAGUCAGCAACCACUGUCAAUCUUUCUUAAAAGUAUAAGGAUAAAGACAAGUCAAUCAAAACUAAUAACGAGAUUAAUUUUACUUUACUAGAAAUCCUAUAGUAUGCUUGCUUUGGGGGUCAGCUAUACUUAGUAAUAAUAUUGUUUAAGACACCAG
This 1659-nucleotide long non-coding RNA is filed under the name Schizosaccharomyces pombe (fission yeast). The record is from RNAcentral. Lineage: Eukaryota; Fungi; Ascomycota; Schizosaccharomycetes; Schizosaccharomycetales; Schizosaccharomycetaceae.